GGGAUGAAAAUCUCACUUCUCUUUCUUCUAUUUCUUGAGAAUGAGGGGAUAUAUCCAUCUGUAUAGAGUUCAUGACAAGCAGCCCUCCUGUCUUUUUGUAGUUGAAGCGACUUUUAAUUGUCUUCAAACUUCCAGUGUUACUACUCUGCCAAGACAGAGUGGCUGCACCAACUUGCAUUCCCACCAAUAG
Molecule: long non-coding RNA, 190 nt
Filed under: Mustela putorius furo (domestic ferret)
Lineage: Eukaryota; Metazoa; Chordata; Mammalia; Carnivora; Mustelidae
Description: lncRNA (ENSMPUG00000026251.1)
Source: RNAcentral